This 253-nucleotide ribosomal RNA is filed under the name uncultured bacterium. RNAcentral describes it as "partial 16S ribosomal RNA". It matches the Rfam family "Bacterial small subunit ribosomal RNA", at positions 524 to 776 of the family's 1533-position model. The record is from RNAcentral.
UACGUAGGGGGCAAGCGUUGUCCGGAUUUAUUGGGCGUAAAGAGCGUGUAGGCGGCUAGAUAGGUCCGUUGUGAAAACUCGAGGCUCAACCUCGAGACGUCGAUGGAAACCAUCUGGCUAGAGUCCGGAAGAGGAGUGUGGAAUUCCCGGUGUAGCGGUGAAAUGCGCAGAUAUCGGGAAGAACACCCGUGGCGAAGGCGGCACUCUGGGACGGUACUGACGCUGAGACGCGAAAGCGUGGGGAGCGAACAGG